CGGGGCUAAACCAUGCACCGAAGCUGCGGCAGCGACGCUUAUGCGUUGUUGGGUAGGGGAGCGUUCUGUAAGCCUGUGAAGGUGUACUGUGAGGUAUGCUGGAGGUAUCAGAAGUGCGAAUGCUGACAUAAGUAACGAUAAAGCGGGUGAAAAGCCCGCUCGCCGGAAGACCAAGGGUUCCUGUCCAACGUUAAUCGGGGCAGGGUGAGUCGACCCCUAAGGCGAGGCCGAAAGGCGUAGUCGAUGGGAAACAGGUUAAUAUUCCUGUACUUGGUGUUACUGCGAAGGGGGGACGGAGAAGGCUAUGUUGGCCGGGCGACGGUUGUCCCGGUUUAAGCGUGUAGGCUGGUUUUCCAGGCAAAUCCGGAAAAUCAAGGCCGAGGCGUGAUGACGAGGCACUACGGUGCUGAAGCAACAAAUGCCCUGCUUCCAGGAAAAGCCUCUAAGCAUCAGGUAACAUCAAAUCGUACCCCAAACCGACACAGGUGGUCAGGUAGAGAAUA
RNAcentral lists this ribosomal RNA (503 nucleotides) under Shigella flexneri. Its description in RNAcentral is "partial 23S ribosomal RNA". It matches the Rfam family "Bacterial large subunit ribosomal RNA", at positions 1176 to 1680 of the family's 2925-position model. Lineage: Bacteria; Pseudomonadati; Pseudomonadota; Gammaproteobacteria; Enterobacterales; Enterobacteriaceae. The record is from RNAcentral.